This 88-nucleotide transfer RNA is filed under the name Thalassocella blandensis. RNAcentral describes it as "Teredinibacter sp. ISS155 tRNA-Leu". It matches the Rfam family "tRNA". From Rfam's summary of the family: Transfer RNA (tRNA) molecules are approximately 80 nucleotides in length. Their secondary structure includes four short double-helical elements and three loops (D, anti-codon, and T loops). The record is from RNAcentral. Lineage: Bacteria; Pseudomonadati; Pseudomonadota; Gammaproteobacteria; Cellvibrionales; Cellvibrionaceae.
GCCCGGGUGGUGGAAUCGGUAGACACAGGAGACUUAAAAUCUCCCGGGAUAAUAUCCCGUGCCGGUUCAAGUCCGGCCCCGGGCACCA